UUGGUUUGAUACGGGUGGUCGGCUCCCUGCUUGAGCAGGCACGGCCACGCGUGCAUUCCUUUUCAGAUGUGCGGCAAGGCUUGUAUCGUCUUGAUCGUAUAAGUGGGUUUCCUGUGUUGCAUACCUGAUCAACGGCAUCGUUUCGAUCAAAAGCGUACCUUUUUCRUCUAGUGUUGCACCCGCACCAUUGGAUGAACCGUGUAGCAUUCUCUUUGAUCCAUACAAUUGACAUUCAUUGUUAGUUGUUUGGCCCAUUGAGCGUGUCUUGGUCCCUUGAAUAUGGAAGCCAAAGUGGGCACGGGAUCGCAAGAUCCGUUUAGUGCCCUAAUUGAGCGUUUUCGCUUCUCUUACACGACUGCCUCUCACGUAUGGCACGUCCCAGCGUGUUUGGCUAUGUCGAAGAGGAAUGU
This 410-nucleotide unclassified non-coding RNA is filed under the name Corethrogyne filaginifolia. RNAcentral's name for it is "partial external transcribed spacer". Lineage: Eukaryota; Viridiplantae; Streptophyta; Magnoliopsida; Asterales; Asteraceae. The record is from RNAcentral.